RNAcentral lists this long non-coding RNA (2840 nucleotides) under Salmo salar (Atlantic salmon). Its description in RNAcentral is "lncRNA (ENSSSAG00000118485.1)". The record is from RNAcentral. Lineage: Eukaryota; Metazoa; Chordata; Actinopteri; Salmoniformes; Salmonidae.
AGUGUUACCCGUUGAAUUGAUGAAUUUAUUCCCCAUUUGAAUCAGAAGGACUAGAAAUGUAUCAGACAGGCGACGGCUGCAGCGCCUCACCUCAGACAGAAACAACCAAACCCAGAGAUGAAUGGAGAAUCCUUUCACACCAGCUGAUGCCUUGUGGGAAACAGACUGUGACCCGACUGGACCUUCCACCCCGGCAUCCAAAAAUGGUGCUCUACUUUUUGACCGGCGCUAGAAAGAUACAUCUAGAAUGUCAGAGAGGCUGUGAGAAGGGAGAUAUAUUCCCAUAGAAAGACGAUUACUGAAGCAGACAUUCCCUUUUCAACUCAAUGACACAGUUAUGGGUGAACCCGGCGGCCAUGUUGAGUGAGUGUGAGUCCAUUUACACAGUUAUGGGUGAACCCGGCGGCCAUGUUGAGUGAGUGUGAGUCCAUUUACACAGUUAUGGGUGAACCCGGCGGCCAUGUUGAGUGAGUGUAAUUCCACGAGGGGGGGAGAAGGGAAUCGGAGUCCAUUUACACAGUUAUGGGUGAACCCGGCGGCCAUGUUGAGUGAGUGUGAGUCCAUUUACACAGUUAUGGGUGAACCCGGCGGCCAUGUUGAGUGAGUGUAAUUCCACGAGGGGGGAGAAGGGAAUCGGAGUCCAUUUACACAGUUAUGGGUGAACCCGGCGGCCAUGUUGAGUGAGUGUGAGUCCAUUUACACAGUUAUGGGUGAACCCGGCGGCCAUGUUGAGUGAGUGUAAUUCCACGAGGGGGGGGAAGGGAAUCGGAGUCCAUUUACACAGUUAUGGGUGAACCCGGCGGCCAUGUUGAGUGAGUAUAAUUCCACGAGGGGGAGAAGGCGGCCAUGUUGAGUGAGUGUGAGUCCAUUUACACAGUUAUGGGUGAACCCGGCGGCCAUGUUGAGUGAGUGUAAUUCCACGAGGGGGAGAAGGGAGUUGGAGUCCAUUUACUCAGACAGUUAUGGGUGAACCCGGCGGCCAUGUUGAGUGAGUGUAAUUCCACGAGGGGGAGAAGGGAAUCGGAGUCCAUUUACUCAAGACAGGUAAAAUAAUUCAUCUCACUCAAGCACAACAUAUUUUCCAUUUAUCUUUUACAAUAAAUACAGUCUUACAAAGCAAAAAGGUUGUGAACACACAUUCAGUAGAAACACAGACAGGACCCCUAGGUUUAACCAAAUCCCCUAUGAGGGACCCUAUUCCCUACGUAGAGCACUAGAUAGGGAAUAGGGAGCCAUUUCAAAAAUGAACCCUGAUCAACACACCCCUUUUCAAAAACAAAUGUUUGUUCCUCAGAGAGCUGGACAGAGCAGGUAGAAAAACACACCCUCUUCAUAACUAGGUCUACCACACUUUAAAAUGUCUUCUCUCGUCCACAACCAGAAGAACCACAUCAUAACAGGAUCGCUAACCGUUCAAAAAAAAAAAUCAGCCUGCUUCCCCUCUCAUCUUUAAUGAAAACUAUAGCAGCAGUAGUAUUCAAUCUAGACGGAAUGUUACUGAAUCCCACAGGAAGGUGAAUAUGGGGGUCACGACCUGUUAGGAGCAAGAGACAGUGGAGCCCGUUGAACUUUCACAGUAAUAAAAAAUAAAAUCACAAAUGAACCAUGUUUUAUAACUAAAAAUGUGUUGCUACACAACGCAUGCAAAAAUAAAACAUUUCAUUUCAACGGUCACGUGUCUAGUCCAGGUGUGUCGGUGUGUCUAGUCCAGGUGUGUCUCUGUUACAGCAUGUCUAGUCCAGGUGUGUCUCUGUUACAGCAUGUCUAGUCCAGGUGUGUCUAGUCCAGGUGUGUCUAGUCCAGGUGUGUGAAGAUAAAAUUCGUUGUAGACGACCCCUCUGGCAUCACAUGACAAAAUGGCCUCCUAUUCCCUUUCUAGUUCACUAGUUCAGACCAUCUAGCUGGUCAAGGUAGUGCACUAGGUAGGGAAUAGGGGCCUGGUCUAAAGUAGUGCACUAGAUAGGGGGCGGAGGGGCACGGGACUGGACCUGGGGCGGAGGGGCACGGGACUGGACCUGGGGCGGAGGGGCACGGGACUGGACCUGGGGCGGAGGAGCUAGGGGUACAGGACUGGACGUGGGGUGGAGGGGCACGGCACAGGACUUGCCCUGGGGCGGAUGGGCACGGCACAGGACUUGCCCUGGGGCGGAGGGGCACGGCACAGGACUGGGCCUGGGGCGGAGGGGCACAGGACUGGACCUGGGGCGGAGGGGCACAGGACUGGACCUGGGGCGGAGGGGCACAGGACUGGACCUGGGCGGAGGGGCACAGGACUGGACCUGGGGCGGAGGGGCACAGGACUGGACCUGGGGCGGAGGGGCACAGGACUGGACCUGGGGCGGAGGGGCACAGGACUGGACCUGGGGCGGAGGGGCACAGGACUGGACCUGGGGCGGAGGGGCACAGGACUGGACCUGGGGCGGAGGGGCACAGGACUGGACCUGGGGCGGAGGGGCACAGGACGGACCUGGGGCGGAGGGGCACAGGACUGGACCUGGGGCGGAGGGGUACAAGACUGGACCUUGGGCGGAGGGGCUAGGGGUACAAGACUGGACCUUGGGCGGAGGGGCUAGGGGUACAAGACUGGACCUUGGGCGGAGGGGCACAAGACUGGACCUUGGGCGGAGGGGCUAGGGGUAUAAGACUGGACCUGGGGUGGAGGGGCUAGGGGUAUAAGACUGGACCUGGGGUGGAGGGGCACAGGACUGGACCUGGGGUGGAGGGGCACAGGACUGGACCUGGGGCGGAGGGGCUAGGCGUACAGGACUGGACCUGGGGCGGAGGGGCUAGGGGUACAAGACUGGACCUGGGGCGGAGGGGCUAGGGGUACAAGACUGGAC